Molecule: long non-coding RNA, 361 nt
Filed under: Mytilus galloprovincialis (Mediterranean mussel)
Lineage: Eukaryota; Metazoa; Mollusca; Bivalvia; Mytilida; Mytilidae
Source: RNAcentral
CGGUGCUCAAUAGGAUGCUUACAAAACUGAAAGGUAAUAUAACAGAUCACCUAACAUAUAUUAACAUAUUUGUCCUGAGGCCAACGGAUGUAAAUAAAAUACCACAAGUUUCCUUAGCCGAAAUCAUAUUGAUAAUUUCCCAAGUGAUUUAAGAUUUGUCUUUCUUGUUUUAAAAAAUGUUUAAUCUUUUGGCUUCUGACAGCACCAGCAAGUUCCACAGCCUGGAUAGUUAUUAUUUAUGCCUUUCGUGAACUUCCGUCCAUGUUUUUCACAUAUCGCUUUUUCUCCAAAUAUUAUCAUUACCAAUUUGUUUGCGACUGUAUAAUGAUAACAUUUCCAUUUACUUGAAGCUGAAAAAUAU